AAAUUUCCACCCAUCUCCCUGACCCCUCUGCUUACCAGUGGGAACCAAAUGUAGGGAGGCACUCUGCUGUGCCAGGAGCAAGGACUGGAGCUCCAGCCUUCCAGGGAGUUUAUCACUCACCAGAUGGAAAAGAGCGAAGAACAAAGGUGAUGCAACUUAUUUAAAGAAGGCUUGGGAGAGCGAGACAAAGAAUUCAGAUCUGAUAUCCAAGCCACUGCCUUAAAUUUUCUGUCAAUAUCCUUUCAACUUCAUGCUAUGCAAUAAACAUUCAAGC
This is a long non-coding RNA of Cygnus olor (mute swan), 274 nucleotides long. RefSeq lists it as uncharacterized. Lineage: Eukaryota; Metazoa; Chordata; Aves; Anseriformes; Anatidae. The record is from RefSeq and is a predicted model, not a curated record. The transcript is spliced from 3 exons.